This 301-nucleotide ribosomal RNA is filed under the name uncultured bacterium. Its description in RNAcentral is "partial 16S ribosomal RNA". It matches the Rfam family "Bacterial small subunit ribosomal RNA", at positions 509 to 807 of the family's 1533-position model. The record is from RNAcentral.
CAGCCGCCGCGGUAAUUCGAAGGGUGCAAGCGUUAAUCGGAAUUACUGGGCGUAAAGCGUGCGUAGGCGGUUUGUUAAGUCUGUUGUGAAAUCCCCGGGCUCAACCUGGGAAUUGCAGUGGAUACUGGAUCACUAGAGUGUGGUAGAGGAUAGUGGAAUUUCCGGUGUAGCAGUGAAAUGCGUAGAGAUCGGAAGGAACAUCUGUGGCGAAGGCGACUAUCUGGGCCAACACUGACACUGAGGCACGAAAGCGUGGGGAGCAAACAGGAUUAGAUACCCCUGUAGUCCCUGUCUCUUAUAC